Molecule: long non-coding RNA, 3898 nt
Organism: Glossina fuscipes
Lineage: Eukaryota; Metazoa; Arthropoda; Insecta; Diptera; Glossinidae
Exons: 4
Source: RefSeq, a predicted model, not a curated record
UAGUUAACGCUGCAAAUUAUUAUAAAUAUUAUAAUGAUAAUUAAUGUUAGCUUGUGAAAAUUAAUACAAAUUGGGUUUGUCACUAAAAAAUUAAAUUUUCAAAAGACGUACACGCAUCAUUUAUGCGUGCGAAAGAUCGUGAUUAAUGCUUCAAGCACUGUACGAUUCGGCCUCAUCAGCGGUGGAACGCGAUGAUUAGCGUAUUGCAUUGAUGAGGUAAUAAAUGAAUUAUUUAGCUCUUACACUUAGUUCCACACCGUUCUUGUUUUAAAGUUGAAAUUUUGCAAAAAAUGAAAACGAAAAUUAUUUUGUCUUAUAGUGUAUAAAGCCUUUGUACUAAAAAAGUUUUGCGAACUAUGGAAAAGAGAAUGUUUGGCAACCCUAAUCAAAAAUAUUUAAAGAGCCAACAUAGAGAAAAUUGCCGGCAUAAAGAAGUAGAUAUCGUUUUUUAAGUAAGCAAGAAAAUUUGUUCUAGAAGCAUUUCAUUAUAUUAGAACGUCAACGAUAUUAAGGAACUGUCAGGCCAGCUUACACAAAUGUGGCAUAUUUUUUAGCAUUCAGUUUCGCAGCAGACAGCGAUAUUAGGUGGCUUGCGGGCAAGCUUGAGAGGAAAUGUGCCUUCCAUGAACCUGCAAAUAGUUUCAUGGAAAGCUUUCUUGCAAGCUAACAAAGUCCAAGCAUGUGUGAUUGAAGAAUUGAUACUUUGGUAAAAAGUAGAUGACUGAGACAUCAUAAAUGGAGUUAUGCGAAUGCUAGUGAGAGCGUAUCGCACAUAUUUUCAGCGUCAUCCCUGAGUUUGCAUAGAACUGACUAGAUUUAAAUAAUGUGGACGCUGCCUAUAUGAAAGAACUGCACAUUUUUCAUAUUGAUUACGAAAAAGGGCCUAAAUGUGUUCAUUCCAACAACCCGCAUUAAAAAAGCCUGGGUGCUUAAAAUGCUUGAAAGUGCUUCUGAAAACAUCGCAUCAAAGUUGCAAUUAGGGAACAACUUUAGCAUGUACCUUGCAUUAUAGAGUCGCCAUUAAGAGCGAUAAGUACAAGUAACUUUCGUGCGGUGCUGUAGAUGCCAUUGCAGAGAAAAUGUUUGAUUAUAAACGCGUUAAAUCGUGAUUAUCACUGCAAACAUAAAUGCAGAUAAGUCCUUAUUGAUUUUUUAAAGGAAUGGCGCUACCCAUCUGUCAACAUUAGCUUCAAAGUCGGAUAUAAAAUCAAACGUUAGUCUUAGAACAACGUAAUACAGAUUUCUGGCAUUGAAAAUGAAUUGCUUUUUAUGUACGUUAAUAUGAUGCCCUUUUGUAAAUGUUUAUAUGGACAUAUUUCAAACACUAGUGUGGCAUUUCCUAUGUCAUGAAUAAAGACCGUCUAAGAGAUGAAAAGGACAUGCAAACGCAACUAUUGAACGCGGAAUAAGCAAAUAAGCUUCACUAAAUUAUAUACAAAUAUAUGCACUUACAUGUCGUGGGAAAAAUUGACAUUGAGAAAAAGCGACCUUAACAGCAAGCAGAGAAGUGAAAACUAAAACUGAAAUGAUUGCAAGCAUUUGCUAGUACACGAAGCAAAAACAGUAUAAAUGGUUGUAAGUGUAACGAUGUCAAGUGGCAACAUAAAAAAGGUCAAAAAUUGCCGAAAUAUUGCGGUAGAAAAAUAGAAAUUCAACGAAAAUCAAACCUAUCGUCUUACGAGUUACGAACAUUGCAUUGAUAGACAAAGUUUCAGAAUGUGGAUUCACGGGGUAAUAUAAGAUGUUUUCAGGACAAUGCACCGACAUAUGUACCAAAAUUCGAUAAUGGUAAGUCAAAUACACUUCCCUGAGAUGUCUUGCUCCAUUAAAGUUGACUUGAGAGGACCUACUGUUCGCUUGCAUCGACAUCCCAAGUCGUUUUUCUCUGCAACUUUUGAAAAUUUGCCCGAAUGGCCAAUGAAAUGGUUUGCGCUUAUUCCCACACUGUCGGAAAGGUAUAUCGCUGGCGAUAGUUUGAAAAAAAUAUUUCUCACCGUUCCCGUGAAAUAAGCACUUACCUGUGCUUCUACUUUGGAGAUAAUACCAUUUAUUUUGUAAUGAAAAAAACCUGCAAAUAGCUACAAAAUGUUGAAAACGUGACAAUAACAUGUAGAGCAGAUAAUCAGCGUCUUUCUUGCACCAAUCACUUUAACAACGUGAGGAUCUUAAAUGCGAACGAUCUAAAUUGCUGACAUUAGUCUUACUAAAGAAACGGGGUAAGUCACAAACUUUUGAAGCAUAAGUGAAGAUCCAAAAAACAUCAAUUUACAAACCACUGAUAGUUUUGAUUAACGUAUCGUCGACUUUAAUCUGAAAAUUGAUACUACGGAAAAUACCUAUUAUUUUUUAUAUUACAUCAUCAACAAAACAGAAACGGUUACAUUCAAAAAAAAAAAAAAAAAAGAAAAGCCAUUUGCGAAUUAUAGGCAUACAAAUGGCUUCAAAGAUUUACGUAAAAUAAGAAAAAGAAAAUUUGACUCGUAAUAUAACUUUUAUACCCGAUGUGCAAGAAGGAAAAUGUUGAGAUUUCUAAUAACGUUAGUGAAAGUCUCAUAAUAUAAGUUUUUCAUAUAAGUUUACAAUCGUUUUUUUAAGUAUUUAUCAUACAAUGUACAAGCAAAACGUGUAAAGAAACUGCAAGUUUAGGAAGAAAGUUUGGAGACCAUAGAUAGACCAACUGUUGCAGUAAAAAUUAAAAACCAAUAUUCUUUUAUUCUUUUUUUUUUUUAUUAGCUACAAGCAAACUUAUCAAUCAGCUCUCAGCGUGUCAAUCCUACGUUCAAUUACUACUUAAUGAAAAGGUGUGAAUCUGAGAUGCUAAGUCAAUCCAAAAGUAUUUCUGCUAAUUUUCAAUGCUAUUUGCUUUGCAUGUUGAUUGGAAAGAUUUAGAUAGUUUCGGAGGAAUCUAUCUGGAGAUGCGUAUGUAACUAUCGCCCGCUUUAUACUUAUUUGGUCGCGUUUAGCCCCCAAUAACUGAGGGGCAUCCGAGUGACAUUAGUUUCAAUGGGCAUUUCUAAUCAAUACGAGUUCUUCUUUAAAUCAAGCAAUUCUUUUCUAUGUUAUCAUUAUUAAAAGUGCCCCGGGGAGCACCAACAAAAUAACGAAAAAUUUACAAGACUAGCAGGCAGUAAUUAUUAAAGAAUAAUUUAUAAUGAGGCACUGGUAGCGAAACAGAUGCCAACAGACGUUGUGUUGAUAAAUUUCUAGGCGCAUGUAUAUGAAAAUUUUGCUUUUUUUCGAUUCCGCUGGAGUAGUGUUGUUGCAAAAAUUUUACUAAUUCGAUGGAAUACCAGCCCCCCCGCGCCUAGAAUCCAGAGCUGGGCCCGUUUCCUUGCGAUAGUUUCGCUUGGAUGGUGAAGUCCAACAGCUUGUUUUCCUAUGUCUUUUUUCUAAGUGCAUCCAAUAUGUGGAUGUAGUACACAUUGUAGCAUGGGUUUAACGUGGGUUCCUGCCAUGAAGGCUUCAUCCCACGGUGCCCCAAGCCACUUUAAGAGUAAUAUACGCCCCCUGGCGAGUUAGACAAUCCCCAUAGAGUAGGGGCCUAAGCAGCACCAGAGUCCAGAUAGUUUAUUGCGUAUGGAAAAAUAAUCCCACUCAGGUUAGUGAUGACGCAACGCUCACUUUGGCAAGGAACGGUGAAACCACAGCCACAACGAGUACUCCCCGAAGGGCCGCACCCAGCAGUGAGGGCUCACAAAUUGAUCAACUCAAAAAAAGGGGAAUGCGCUUGAUUCCACCAUAAGGUUUCGACAAGCGCCGUUGAUCAACGUUGACCACCAUUGCCGCUAGGCAUCCCUGGAUAUAUGUUCAAAAAGUAUGAUAGGCAAAAAGGGUAAAAAGCCUUCUGUCAAAUCCUUUUUCAUAUUAUUAUUUAUAGAGAAAAUUCUAAAUUUUUAUU